GUGGGGAAUAUUGGACAAUGGGCGAAAGCCUGAUCCAACCAUGCCGCGUGUGUGAAGAAGGUCUUCGGAUUGUAAAGCACUUUAAGUUGGGAGGAAGGGCAGUAAGUUAAUACCUUGCUGUUUUGACGUUACCGACAGAAUAAGCACCGGCUAACUUCGUGCCAGCAGCCGCGGUAAUACGAAGGGUGCAAGCGUUAAUCGGAAUUACUGGGCGUAAAGCGCGCGUAGGUGGUUUUGUAAGUUGGAGGUGAAAUCCCCGGGCUCAACCUGGGAACUGCCUCCAAAACUGCAUGACUAGAGUACGGUAGAGGGUGGUGGAAUUUCCUGUGUAGCGGUGAAAUGCGUAGAUAUAGGAAGGAACACCAGUGGCGAAGGCGACCACCUGGACUGAUACUGACACUGAGGUGCGAAAGCGUGGGGAGCAAACAGGAUUAGAUACCCCUGUAGUCC
RNAcentral lists this ribosomal RNA (450 nucleotides) under uncultured bacterium. RNAcentral describes it as "partial 16S ribosomal RNA". It matches the Rfam family "Bacterial small subunit ribosomal RNA", at positions 354 to 796 of the family's 1533-position model. The record is from RNAcentral.